CACGUAGGGCGCAAGCGUUGUCCGGAAUUAUUGGGCGUAAAGAGCUCGUAGGCGGUCUGUUACGUCUGCUGUGAAAACCCAGGGCUUAACCCUGGGCUUGCAGUGGAUACGGGCAGACUAGAGGCAGGUAGGGGAGAAUGGAAUUCCCGGUGUAGCGGUGAAAUGCGCAGAUAUCGGGAGGAACACCGGUGGCGAAGGCGGUUCUCUGGGCCUUACCUGACGCUGAGGAGCGAAAGCAUGGGGAGCAAACAGG
Molecule: ribosomal RNA, 253 nt
Filed under: uncultured bacterium
Lineage: Bacteria
Description: partial 16S ribosomal RNA
Rfam family: Bacterial small subunit ribosomal RNA
Source: RNAcentral